CUGCAUGUACCGUAUGAAUAAGCAUCGGCUAACUCCGUGCCAGCAGCCGCGGUAAUACGGAGGAUGCGAGCGUUAUCCGGAUUUAUUGGGUUUAAAGGGUGCGUAGGCGGCCUGUUAAGUCAGCGGUGAAAUCUAGGAGCUUAACUCCUAAAUUGCCAUUGAUACUGGCGGGCUUGAGUGUAGAUGAGGUAGGCGGAAUGCGUGGUGUAGCGGUGGAAUGCAUAGAUAUCACGCAGAACUCCGAUUGCGAAGGCAGCUUACUAAGGUACAACUGACGCUGAAGCACGAAAGCGUGGGUAUCAAACAGGAUUAGAUACCCUGGUAGUCCACGCAGUAAACGAUGAUAACUGGGCGUAUGCGAUAUACAGUAUGCUCCUAAGCGAAAGCGUUAAGUUAUCCACCUGGGGAGUACGCCGGCAACGGUGAAACUCAAAGGAAUUGACGGGGGCCCGCACAAGCGGAGGAACAUGUGGUUUAAUUCGAUGAUACGCGAGGAACCUUACCCGGGAUUGAAAUGUAGAUGACCGCUCCUGAAAGGGAGUUUUCCUUCGGGACAUCUAUGUAGGUGCUGCAUGGUUGUCGUCAGCUCGUGCCGUGAGGUGUCGGCUUAAGUGCCAUAACGAGCGCAACCCCUGUCUACGGUUGCCAUCAGGUAAUGCUGGGAACUCCGUAGAGACUGCCGUCGUAAGGCGUGAGGAAGGUGGGGAUGACGUCAAAUCAGCACGGCCCUUACAUCCGGGGCGACACACGUGUUACAAUGGUAAGGACAAAGGGCAGCUACCUGGCGACAGGAUGCGAAUCUCUAAACCUUAUCACAGUUCGGAUCGGAGUCUGCAACUCGACUCCGUGAAGCUGGAUUCGCUAGUAAUCGCGCAUCAGCCAUGGCGCGGUGAAUACGUUCCCGGGCCUUGUACACACCGCCCGUCAAGCCAUGGGAGUCUGGAGUACCUAAAGUCCGUAACCGCAAGGGUCGGCCUAGGGUAAUACAGGUGACUGGGGCUAAGUCGUAACAAGGUAGCCGUACCGGAAGGUGCGGCUG
Molecule: ribosomal RNA, 1039 nt
Filed under: Porphyromonas sp. oral taxon 279 str. F0450
Lineage: Bacteria; Pseudomonadati; Bacteroidota; Bacteroidia; Bacteroidales; Porphyromonadaceae
Description: bacterial SSU rRNA
Rfam family: Bacterial small subunit ribosomal RNA
Source: RNAcentral